AGAGCGUCGGUGCUUUUUGAGGUUAUAUUUGUUUGCUUGCAGAUAUUUUCUAGUAAAGCGUAUGUUUGGUGAUUAUAAUUAUAAACGCUAACAUUUAAAAUGGCUAAGCAUCAUCCAGAUUUAAUUUUCUGCCGUAAACAGCCGGGUGUUGCUAUCGGCCGUCUUUGUGAGAAAUGUGAUGGGAAGUGCGUGAUCUGUGACUCGUAUGUACGUCCGUGCACGUUGGUGCGAAUCUGCGACGAAUGCAACUAUGGGUCCUACCAGGGCAGAUGCGUUAUUUGCGGCGGGCCCGGCGUCUCGGACGCUUAUUAUUGCAAAGAAUGCACUAUACAGGAGAAAGAUAGAGAUGGAUGUCCGAAGAUUGUGAACUUAGGCAGUUCCAAGACAGAUCUGUUCUAUGAAAGGAAGAAAUAUGGAUUCAGGAGACACUAGCAGCAAUAAAUUAGUACUUCAUUACUGUGAAUAUGACCAGAGAUACACAUUCCUGCUUUUUUUUUAUUUUUUUUUUUAUUGGAGGGUUUUUUAUAUACAAACUAAAUAAGUCACCCUCAAGUAUUCACAACAAGUACAGCGGGCUUAGCACCAUAAGCGCGUCCUCGCCUCGACAUACGUCACCCGUCACUCUCUAAUAAUAAUAAUAACAAAGUUUAUUGAGGUAAAAUCUACGACACACAUAUACAUUUACAACAUUAAAAUAUACACACAGUACUGCACAGAAAGAGACAGAUGAUCUCUGUCGCGGCGAGAAAGAGUCUAGUGAUAGAGUGCUAAGCCCACCGGUCGUUAUAUAUUUUAAGGCUGUCUGCAAUAGGGUAGUUUCCAACUAGUUAAAUCAGUUACUUAAACAUCAAAACUUGAAAUUACUAUGGAAUUUGUAUGAAAAAGCAACCUGUGACAUCAUAGAAAUACGCGACAAAUUGUCGCACUUUUCUACAUUUUUCUUUAUUGAAAUUCAUAAAUAAGUUAAAUAUAAAAAUGAAAACAUUUUUUGUCACCUUUAGAUCUAUCUGUCUUUAUUUAGUAAUCAGAAUUUCAUAAUUUAUCUUUGACCUUGGAAACUACAAAACACUACUAUUCUUACAAAAAUUAAUUAAACCUUUUUAUGAGGGUCUGGACAUGUUUGAGAUGCAUUGGAGAGAGAUUGUUUAGGACAGGGAGAAGUGGAAGAUCAGAGUGAAGGCCUUUGCCCAGCAAUGGUACAAUAAGGCUAGUAAAAAAAAAGUUUGCAUGGCUAGUAGUAGCCAACAAGUGAUUUUCAAUGGACUCUGGACCUAGCAGGUUUAUGUAUAUCUUUGAAGUCAUAGCAUUUAGAAGUACUGAAGUACUUAUAACAAUGGUGCUAAUUCAAGUACUCACCGCCUAAUUUUACUAGAAGUUAUAUCUGUCAUUUUCUUAUCCGCCGAAAAGGAAAGGGACGGGUAAUCGACAAGCAUAAAAUUUAUGGAACACACGUCAAUUUUAAACACAAAUCUAAAACAACCGUCUAAAAAUUCGCCCGGGUUAUUCAUUUAUUUACUCAUUCUUCCUAAAAUUAAGAGCUGUCAAUCAUCCGUCCCUUUCCUUUUCGGCGGAUAAGAAAAUGACAGGUAUAACUUAAAGUAAAAUUAAGAGAUGUCUGCAGGAAUCGGG
This 1629-nucleotide unclassified non-coding RNA is filed under the name Pectinophora gossypiella (pink bollworm). RNAcentral's name for it is "pHD finger-like domain-containing protein 5A". Lineage: Eukaryota; Metazoa; Arthropoda; Insecta; Lepidoptera; Gelechiidae. The record is from RNAcentral.